Molecule: ribosomal RNA, 553 nt
Filed under: Aureobasidium proteae
Lineage: Eukaryota; Fungi; Ascomycota; Dothideomycetes; Dothideales; Saccotheciaceae
Description: eukaryotic LSU rRNA
Rfam family: Eukaryotic large subunit ribosomal RNA
Source: RNAcentral
GGCGAGUGAAGCGGCAACAGCUCAAAUUUGAAAGCUAGCCUUCGGGUUCGCAUUGUAAUUUGUAGAGGAUGAUUUGGGGAAGCCGCCUGUCUAAGUUCCUUGGAACAGGACGUCAUAGAGGGUGAGAAUCCCGUAUGUGACAGGAAAUGGCACCCUAUGUAAAUCUCCUUCGACGAGUCGAGUUGUUUGGGAAUGCAGCUCUAAAUGGGAGGUAAAUUUCUUCUAAAGCUAAAUAUUGGCGAGAGACCGAUAGCGCACAAGUAGAGUGAUCGAAAGAUGAAAAGCACUUUGGAAAGAGAGUUAAAAAGCACGUGAAAUUGUUGAAAGGGAAGCGCUUGCAAUCAGACUUGUUUAAACUGUUCGGCCGGUCUUCUGACCGGUUUACUCAGUUUGGACAGGCCAGCAUCAGUUUCGGCGGCCGGAUAAAGGCUCUGGGAAUGUGGCCUCCACUUCGGUGGAGGUGUUAUAGCCCAGGGUGUAAUACGGCCAGCCGGGACUGAGGUCCGCGCUUCGGCUAGGAUGCUGGCGUAAUGGUUGUAAGCGACCCGUCUUG